Molecule: ribosomal RNA, 479 nt
Filed under: Bacillus sp. (in: firmicutes)
Lineage: Bacteria; Bacillati; Bacillota; Bacilli; Caryophanales; Bacillaceae
Description: bacterial SSU rRNA
Rfam family: Bacterial small subunit ribosomal RNA
Source: RNAcentral
GCAAGUCGAGCGGNNNAAGGGAGCUUGCUCCCGGAUGUUAGCGGCGGACGGGUGAGUAACACGUGGGUAACCUGCCUGUAAGACUGGGAUAACUCCGGGAAACCGGAGCUAAUACCGGAUAGUUCCUUGAACCGCAUGGUUCAAGGAUGAAAGACGGUUUCGGCUGUCACUUACAGAUGGACCCGCGGCGCAUUAGCUAGUUGGUGGGGUAAUGGCUCACCAAGGCGACGAUGCGUAGCCGACCUGAGAGGGUGAUCGGCCACACUGGGACUGAGACACGGCCCAGACUCCUACGGGAGGCAGCAGUAGGGAAUCUUCCGCAAUGGACGAAAGUCUGACGGAGCAACGCCGCGUGAGUGAUGAAGGUUUUCGGAUCGUAAAGCUCUGUUGUUAGGGAAGAACAAGUGCGAGAGUAACUGCUCGCACCUUGACGGUACCUAACCAGAAAGCCACGGCUAACUACGUGCCAGCANCCGNGG